RNAcentral lists this ribosomal RNA (476 nucleotides) under uncultured bacterium. RNAcentral's name for it is "bacterial SSU rRNA". It matches the Rfam family "Bacterial small subunit ribosomal RNA", at positions 24 to 518 of the family's 1533-position model. The record is from RNAcentral.
UCAGGACGAACGCUGGCGGCGUGCUUCAUGCAUGCAAGUCGAACGAGAAGCUGACUUCGGUCAGUGGAAAGUGGCGGACGGGUGAGUAAUAUGUAGAGAAUCUGCCCUUGAGUGGGGGGACAACAGAGGGAAACUUCUGCUAAUACCCCAUAUGAGCUAACUUGAAAUAGUUAUCUUGAAAACUCCGGUGCUCAAGGAUGAGUCUGCAUCUGAUUAGCUAGUUGGCGGUGUAAUGGACCACCAAGGCGACGAUCAGUAGCUGGUUUGAGAGGAUGAUCAGCCACAAUGGGACUGAGACACGGCCCAUACUCCUACGGGAGGCAGCAGUAGGGAAUUUUGCGCAAUGGGCGAAAAAGCCUGACGCAGCAACGCCGCGUGAACGAUUAAGCCCUUCGGGGUGUAAAGUUCUGUCAGUAGGGACGAAUUUUGACGGUACCUACAGAGGAAGCACCGGCUAACUCCGUGCCAGCCGCCGC